GGUCCACGUCCGCAAGAAGGAUGGGAGGUGGAACAGCAGACUGCGUGUGCGGCUGUACGGGCUAUCUGACCUUAGGAGAGUCCCCGAAGAGGCGCUACUCUCGAGCGGCGGGUCGUGAGGAGCCAGGGAUCCUGAAGCCCUGCCAGGUCCUUGCACUUUGCAUGAGGAAAUUAAGGACCAGGAUCGAGGUACUGCUGAUCUGAGAAGCCAACCUAGAAGUGCACAGGGAGGGGAGUCUCUGCCUUGCUAAAAGGUCCUGGAGACUGGCCCAUGAGCUGCCAUGAGGAUUGAGUUCUGUGUCUAGGGCUUGGGGAGGGUUGGGGCUCUGCUGUCUUGGAAAGCAGAGAGGCAUGUUGAGAUGGGGGUGCUGCCUUGAGAUACUCAGCUUUUCACUCUCUGUGUGGGCUCUGGGCAGGGUGAGUUCCUCUUGCCAGGCAAUACAGAGACCCCCAAUCUCUUAGGAGAGGUUUGGCCUCCAUGCUGUGAAAUUACCAGGAAUGAAUUUCUGGAUGGGAUGGGGUGCAGAGAAGGAAGCUGAGCCAAGCAUGCUAGCCAAGGACCUGGGCUUCAAGGGUCCUUGGUCCUGAGUGGGAGUCCUGGAGCCAGGAUGGGUCUGGAGCAAAAGGGGAGGCAGUGGGUGUGGGGUACAUUGGAGUCUGACUGCACUUGUCAGACCUCAGGUUAUUUUUUUUUUGGGUACUGGAGAUCGAACUCAGGACUUUUCACUUUUGAGGCAGGCAGUGGCACCACUGAGGUAAAUCCCUGGCCCAGGGCCCAGGUUCUUGCCAAGCUGUUCAGGGUUCUGUGUCCUAGGCUGGAUGUCCAAAGUUCUGGAUGUUGAUCUGGAGUUGAUGGUCCAAGUCCAGGUCAGGGACCUAUCCGAAACACCAGGUCAGGGUUAUGGUAGUGAUCUGGGUCUGAGAUUGGAAUCAAGGUUGGGUUAGAUCAAGGUCUUGGCCUGCUGGAGGUCUGGGGUCAAUGUUGAAGUCUGGGUGUGGAGCCAGAGUUGUGAUCUGUGGUCAUGGUCAUAGUCUGCAGUGGUGCUCCAAGGUCUCAGUCCAAGGUCCUAUUUGGCGUCUAAAGACAGGAUUUUCAACUAAGGACUGGUGUCAGGUCAUGGGUGGACAGUGGUGUCCAAGGUCAGGGAGUCAGGGGUUAGAGUCAGAGUCUGAAAGCUAAGUUCCAGGAUCAUAUUCUGAAAUUUGAGUCCAGGGUCUAGGGUCCUUGUGAUCCAUGACUGGCGUUGGAGAGGGGGGUCUGAUUUUGGAGCCUGGGAUCCACAGAUGUGACUCGAAGUUGUGGCUACAAUCUGAGUCUGAGGGCGUCUUCGGCCAGGGCUCCUGUCGUGUUCCAGGUGCAAGGUGGACAGUCGAGGUCACUGUCAGGGUCUGAGAUUAGGGUCCCACAUCUAGGUCAAGUCUCCGGUUUUAGUGGCGCCCUACGAGAGUUCCGCCCUCCGGGGCUCCGGCCCUCGAGGCCUCCAGGGGGCGCCGCUGCCCGGCAGCGCCGCCCGCCCCGGCUCGGCCCCUCGCCGGAUCGCUGGCGCUGUGUGCGGCAGGCGGGGCCGGA
Long non-coding RNA from Heterocephalus glaber (naked mole-rat), 1569 nucleotides. Lineage: Eukaryota; Metazoa; Chordata; Mammalia; Rodentia; Bathyergidae. The record is from Ensembl.